RNAcentral lists this ribosomal RNA (460 nucleotides) under uncultured bacterium. Its description in RNAcentral is "partial 16S ribosomal RNA". It matches the Rfam family "Bacterial small subunit ribosomal RNA", at positions 338 to 795 of the family's 1533-position model. The record is from RNAcentral.
CCUACGGGUGGCAGCAGUGAGGAAUAUUGGUCAAUGGACGAGAAUCUGAACCAGCCAAGUAGCGUGAAGGAUGACUGCCCUAUGGGUUGUAAACUUCUUUUAUAUGGGAAUAAAAUGUUCCACGUGUGGGAUUUUGUAUGUACCAUAUGAAUAAGGAUCGGCUAACUCCGUGCCAGCAGCCGCGGUAAUACGGAGGAUCCGAGCGUUAUCCGGAUUUAUUGGGUUUAAAGGGAGCGUAGGUGGAUUGUUAAGUCAGUUGUGAAAGUUUGCGGCUCAACCGUAAAAUUGCAGUUGAAACUGGCAGUCUUGAGUACAGUAGAGGUGGGCGGAAUUCGUGGUGUAGCGGUGAAAUGCUUAGAUAUCACGAAGAACACCGAUGGCGAAGGCAGCUUACUGGACUGCAACUGACACUGAGGCUCGAAAGUGUGGGUAUCAAACAGGAUUAGAUACCCCAGUAGUC